This 497-nucleotide ribosomal RNA is filed under the name uncultured bacterium. RNAcentral describes it as "partial 16S ribosomal RNA". It matches the Rfam family "Bacterial small subunit ribosomal RNA", at positions 28 to 507 of the family's 1533-position model. The record is from RNAcentral.
GAUGAACGCUGGCGGCGUGCCUAAUACAUGCAAGUCGAGCGAACGGACGAGAAGCUUGCUCCUCUGAUGUUAGCGGCGGACGGGUGAGUAACACGUGGAUAACCUACCUAUAAGACUGGGAUAACUUCGGGAAACCGGAGCUAAUACCGGAUGAUAUUUUGAACCGCAUGGUUCAAAAGUGAAAGAAGGUCUUGCUGUCACUUAUAGAUGGAUCCGCGCUGCAUUAGCUAGUUGGUAAGGUAACGGCUUACCAAGGCAACGAUGCAUAGCCGACCUGAGAGGGUGAUCGGCCACACUGGAACUGAGACACGGUCCAGACUCCUACGGGAGGCAGCAGUAGGGAAUCUUCCGCAAUGGGCGAAAGCCUGACGGAGCAACGCCGCGUGAGUGAUGAAGGUCUUCGGAUCGUAAAACUCUGUUAUUAGGGAAGAACAAAUGUGUAAGUAACUGUGCACAUCUUGACGGUACCUAAUCAGAAAGCCACGGCUAACUACGUG